RNAcentral lists this ribosomal RNA (254 nucleotides) under uncultured prokaryote. RNAcentral describes it as "partial 16S ribosomal RNA". It matches the Rfam family "Bacterial small subunit ribosomal RNA", at positions 525 to 777 of the family's 1533-position model. The record is from RNAcentral.
ACGGAGGGUGCGAGCGUUGUCCGGAAUCAUUGGGCGUAAAGGGCGCGUAGGUGGUCCGGUCAGUCUUUGGUGAAAGCGCGGGGCUCAACCCUGCGUCGGCCAGGGAUACUGCCGCGGCUGGAGCACUGUAGAGGCAGGCGGAAUUCCGGGUGUAGCGGUGGAAUGCGUAGAGAUCCGGAAGAACACCGGUGGCGAAGGCGGCCCGCUGGGCUGUGGCCGACGCUGAGGCGCGACAGCGUGGGGAGCAAACAGGA